AUCGAGUAGAGUACAAGACUCUACUUCUCAGUUUUAAACCUCUUCAUAAAUUUGCGCCACCAUAUCUCUCAAUUUGCCUCAUAUUUACAUCCCGAAGUACCUGCUGGCCUGAAAAGAGGAGCACAACCUGCUGCCAGAGUCGGGAUGGCAGACGCCUAACUUUGGGUUUCAUUUGUCCUUUAAAACAGUGUUCAGGGGCAAUAUAACCGGCUGUGUAUAUGCAGAGUUUGCAUGGAACUCAGCUGACCUCAAUGAACUGAACAGAAGAAAUGAACCAGAGAAGAAAUCAACAGGAGAAGAAGCAGACCUAUCUAUUAUUUUUGCCUGAGGCCGAGAGAGAACCAUCCAUCCCUGUCUGCCCACUACCCGCGUCCACUUUGAGAGACCU
Molecule: long non-coding RNA, 388 nt
Organism: Cyprinus carpio carpio
Lineage: Eukaryota; Metazoa; Chordata; Actinopteri; Cypriniformes; Cyprinidae
Source: Ensembl